Molecule: ribosomal RNA, 253 nt
Filed under: uncultured bacterium
Lineage: Bacteria
Description: partial 16S ribosomal RNA
Rfam family: Bacterial small subunit ribosomal RNA
Source: RNAcentral
UACGAAAAAAACUAGCGUUGUUCGGAAUUACUGGGCGUAAAGCGCGCGCAGGCGGUUUUUCAAGUCAGUGGUGAAAUCCCGGCGCUCAACUCCGGAACUGCCAUUGAAACUGUUGAACUUGAGGACGAGAGAGGUGAGUGGAAUUCCCAGUGUAGAGGUGAAAUGCGUAGAUAUUGGGAAGAACACCGGUGGCGAAGGCGGCUCACUGGCUCGUUUCUGACGCUCAGGCGCGACAGCGUGGGGAUCAAACAGG